Molecule: non-coding RNA, 1864 nt
Organism: Heterocephalus glaber (naked mole-rat)
Lineage: Eukaryota; Metazoa; Chordata; Mammalia; Rodentia; Bathyergidae
Source: RefSeq, a predicted model, not a curated record
UUCGGGCGGACUGGCCUCCUGCAGGCUACCGCUGAACCCAGCCUUUGAAGGGAGACUGAGUCACAGCAGCCUCUGACAGCCCCUGCCGGCAAGAGCCCGGCUCAGAAGCCACUUGCUGGGCGGUGGGGGGCGGGCCAGGCUCCGGGGACUUUGAUCCUCAGCCUGGCUGGAGCAGAGCCAUGGAGGAAGUCAGCCGCCUGGAGUCCGCGGCAGCUGGGCAGGAGUGGCACCAACGCGAGUCUGGGCCUGCCUCGGGGGACUGCGGCCAGCCGCAGUGUGGCAGGGGACGGGAGGCCACCACCUUGCCUGCACCGCUUAGGCCUUCCAGAGAAGCAGCCAGGCCAGGACUCACUGUCCAAGGCUGACUGUCCAUCUUCAGGAAAAAGACCAAUGAGGGAGUCCAGAGUCACUACAGCUGUGCAAGCUAUGUGCUGACAACUCCAGGGGGCGGCACGCCCAUGGGACCAUGACAUUUUCAACAAAUGCCAGCUCAGCGCCUCGAUAAAGGAAUUUACACAAAGUCUCCAGUUCUUAGGAGCUGGAUAAGAUCGUGUUUUCUGGGACUAAAAAUCAGAAACCCCCAGGUCUGGGGACAGAGCUGUCUGGAGAGGAAGCUGACAACAACAGCCUUUCUGCUCAUUGCUGCCAGGGGGCACAGGGCUUGGCCCUAGCUGGGUGGUGGCCUGUCCUGGGGCAGGAACGUGUGUGCAGACUGGAGAGGGCUGAGAAGGCUCAGAGUCCUAGGAAAGGCGAAGACGUCGCUCCCAUCCCUUGCCUGCUUCCUGUCCACAAAUAUGUAGCUGAUGAAAGGGUGGGCUCCACUGUCUCCUCAGGAAGGACUCAGCCUCCACUGACACAGACACAGUGAACUUAGCUCUGCUUCCAGUGCCCAGGCCCAGGCCCGUGCAUCUCUGCUUCAUUAGAAGAGCAGACGAAGCCCACUCUGUCCUGCCGAUCUCUGCCAUCCUGAUAAAGUCCUUGCAGUCUGGUCCCAGUGCCUGGCCACAAGUUCCCAGAAGUCUCAUGUGCCAGAGGUCGGCAUGAAGGUUACAGGCGCCAUCCCUGAGGAGGAGGCCAGCUCUUCCUGAAGCAGAGGAAGCUCACAUGGUGACACUGGUCUUGACAACCAUGCCUAACUGUCAAGGGAGGGCACGCACUUGCAGCCUGGACAAAUGGCGCCUCGGCUUCUGAGACACGCUGUGACGCUCUGGUCCCUGGGAUCCUGCCCCUGUGACGCCGCCUGUGACCCCGCCUGGCCUCUGUCCACCUCCGCCCCUCUCCCUGGAGGGAGUUGCCUUGCCCACCAGGACCACCGGACCCUUCCUUUCCUGGGCUCCCACAGGACUUGCUGUCCCGUGCCGCCUGCCCGGGUGGGUAUUUCCCUGCAGGGACACCUUAUCUCUGGGUUGCCACCUUGUAGUGGAGGCGGAGGCAUCCAGACAGGUGGGGGACUGCUUUGCGGCUUCCUGAGGCCGCGCAUAACUCCAGCGCUUCAGGAGGCGCGGCGAUCCAACAGUCCUGGGUUCCCAAGGCCGCCCGGACCAGGGUCAACCUGAACACAUUUACUCUCCUUCUCACUCCCACCCCUCCCUGUCACGGAACCCUGCAGUGAUUCCUCUGGUUUAAUCAAACUAGAAAUACGAGUAGCAUCAAAAAUAUCCCAUCAGAUCGUAUGAUUGUUCCAGCCAAGCAGGUGCCGGUCCUGCCAGUGAGGCGCAGUUUAGAAGAGAGUCCCAGCAGCUCCUAAGACCUUGGUAUCAGUGGAGGCUGAGGAUUCUCCCUUGGGGAGCCCAGGGAAGGAACUGGGGACCCUGGGGCGCGUACCUGGCUGCUGGAACAUCAGCAUGUUCUGCGGAGACGUGUG